GGAUGUAUAGCUCAGUGGUGGAGCAGCUGCCUAGCAUGUAAAAGACCCUGGGUUUGAUUCUCAGUACCACCA
RNAcentral lists this transfer RNA (72 nucleotides) under Neotoma lepida (desert woodrat). It matches the Rfam family "tRNA". From Rfam's summary of the family: Transfer RNA (tRNA) molecules are approximately 80 nucleotides in length. The record is from Rfam by way of RNAcentral. Lineage: Eukaryota; Metazoa; Chordata; Mammalia; Rodentia; Cricetidae.